AGAAAUACCUAAUGUGUAAUUUGCCUUCAUUUCUGUAAAAGAAUAUGCAUCUUAUUCCAAAUAUAAACCUGGAAUCUAGACCACAGAAUAUAUAUACAUAUAUAUAUAAACAGCAGAGAAAAACCAAUAAGAUUUAAAUUUCUUGCUUCCUUUCCUUCUUCAAUUGACAAAAGAAAUCUAUUCUUGAAUUCUUCUCUUCACUUAUACCCUAUCUUCCCCAGUAGCAUCCUACAUUACAGCGUAAAUAAAAACUAUUCCUACCUCUUCUGUCAACCUUUACAUCUCAGAAAUUUCUACACUGAAAAAGCAAGCCAACCUCAUCAUUUAUCUUCAGACUGGAUCAAUCAUAAUUCAUUUUCCAACAAGAUCAGACAUUAUUCAUCCUAUACCUCCCAUAAGGUCAGAUUUUUAUAUUCAUAGCAGCCAAAGAAAAGAAAGAGAGAACAAAAGAAGCCACUAACAGCAAUCAGUUCAAACUCCCAAGUCAGUUUCAGACAUCUAGCAAAUCAAGAAUCUGACUCUGAUUCAGACGAACUCACUGCAGAUGAAGCAACUCCACAGCUAUUAUUCUGAGAGUCACGUGCUAUUCUUGGUCGCACUUUGUGGAGAAUUUGCGAUGAAGGCCUUACUCUCAUGUACUCCUCAUAGAAAGCCCUGAUCUCUUCCUCCGUAAGGCCUUCAUCUUCUCCAGCAUUUUCAUCCCAA
This 705-nucleotide unclassified non-coding RNA is filed under the name Hevea brasiliensis (rubber tree). Lineage: Eukaryota; Viridiplantae; Streptophyta; Magnoliopsida; Malpighiales; Euphorbiaceae. The record is from RNAcentral.